RNAcentral lists this ribosomal RNA (428 nucleotides) under uncultured bacterium. RNAcentral's name for it is "bacterial SSU rRNA". It matches the Rfam family "Bacterial small subunit ribosomal RNA", at positions 340 to 786 of the family's 1533-position model. The record is from RNAcentral.
UACGGGAGGCAGCAGUGGGGAAUAUUGGACAAUGGGCGAAAGCCUGAUCCAGCAAUGCCGCGUGAGUGAUGAAGGCCUUAGGGUUGUAAAGCUCUUUUACCCGGGAUGAUAAUGACAGUACCGGGAGAAUAAGCUCCGGCUAACUCCGUGCCAGCAGCCGCGGUAAUACGGAGGGUGCGAGCGUUAAUCGGAAUUACUGGGCGUAAAGGGCACGCAGGCGGUUAAUUAAGUUGGAUGUGAAAUCCCCGGGCUUAACCUGGGAAUGGCAUUCAAGACUGGUUAGCUAGAGUCUUGUAGAGGGGGUAGAAUUCCAUGUGUAGCGGUGAAAUGCGUAGAGAUGUGGAGGAAUACCGGUGGCGAAGGCGGCCCCUGGACAAAGACUGACGCUCAUGUGCGAAAGCGCGGGGAGCAAACAGGGAUUAGAUACC